This 1016-nucleotide long non-coding RNA is filed under the name Chrysolophus pictus (golden pheasant). RNAcentral's name for it is "lncRNA (ENSCPIG00010001476.1)". Lineage: Eukaryota; Metazoa; Chordata; Aves; Galliformes; Phasianidae. The record is from RNAcentral.
GGAAAAGAGACGAGAAGCACCAGUUGCACAUGCUACAGCUCGUGAUUAAGCUGGUGUUUUGCUGGGAGGCUUUGAUUUGACUUCCAGCUUUCCCUCAGCCUUCACGCAGACAGCUUUCCAGAGCUCUCCUACUCGCUGCCCAUUAGCUCAGGACAGCACACAGCAUUACAAAGGCACCAGAUGACAAAGAUCCAAAUCUACUGACGGGAAAAAAAAUCAGGAAGCAGAGGUGUUGAAAGAGAUGGAGUGAUGAUGAGAUUGUUGUGAAAACAGAGCCAGUAACUAAGGCAGUUUUUGGAUGCAAAGGACAGAAUCCAGAGGAUGCACACUAAGGCCAUGCCUGGACCACAGUGGUAUUUUUGGUCACUUUUCUAGGAAAUUGCUGACAAAUGGUGAGAGUGCAGAACAGCAACAAGAGAAGAAGGAGCCGCAUUAUCAAAUCCAGGCAGGGUGACAACCUGGAAAUCCAGCAGCUGCUAGCAAGCUGCAGAUAGUGCUGGGCUCUGCACAGCUCCCUGAUCCCUACCAGUCCUGCAGCGUAAGUACCCUGCUCCUGAUUUCUGGAUUCCCCAAGCCUUCAGUUACAGCUUCUGGGCUCUGCUUCUUAUCACAGGCCAACACUAACCAGACCAAACAAACCAUGUACAGAGCAAGCCUUGUUUUCCAAGGUGUUGGAUGCUACCCACCAGUUGUUUCCCAGACUUCUGAAAGAUUUAAACACGGUCAUCCAGGCUUCUUCCUGAGCUGUCUGGGAGCACAUCCUCCCUACUUCACAUCACACCCAACACACAAGAAGCAGGAGAAAGGCUGCAGCACUUCUGGCUGCCAAAGGCUGAGCACAUCCCCAGCAGCACAGCACAGCCCUACAUAGCCGGGGUGAGGCAGAGCUGUCGGUCCUCACUGCACGCUGGUGGGGUGGGAACGAUGGCAAUCUGUGUUAGUGAACUUAGACAUUUGGUAUUAGUGUAAUGCAGACACAAUUGUAAUAAAGUCAUUUAUUGGAGCUGUGAAGUGCA